AUUCCAAUCGAACUCGGAGAUAGCUGGUUCUCCUCGAAAUAGCUUUAGGGCUAGCGUCGUGUUAGUAGCACAUGGGGGUAGAGCUCUGUAAAGGACUGGGGCGGGCAACUGUACCCACCCUUAACAAACUACGAAUACCAUGUGUGUAAUCACGGCAGUUAGAACAUCGGUGCUAAGAUCGGUGCUCAAAAGGGAAACAGCCCAGACCAUCAUCUAAGGUCCCUAAAUUAACGUUCAGUGGGAAACAAGGUGAGAUUUCUUAAACAGCUAGGAUGUUGGCUUAGAAGCAGCCAUUCAUUUAAAGAGUGCGUAACAGCUCACUAGUCAAGAGAUCUUGCGUGGAAAAUGUAACGGGGCUAAAACGUUAUACCGAAGAUAUGGAUGUCAGAUUUAUCUGGCGUGGUAGAGGAGCGUUCCUAUCAGCAGUGAAGUCGAAUCGGAAGGUUCGGUGGAGCGGUAGGAAGUGAGAAUGCUGGAAUGAGUAACCAUAAGAGAGGUGAGAAUCCUCUCGGCCAUAAGAGCAAGGUUUCCUGAGCCAUGGUAAUCAUCUCAGGGUUAGUCGGGCCUAAGCCGAGGCGCAGAGCGUAGGCGAUGGACAUCAGGUUAAUAUUCCUGAACCGGUUAAGUUUUGUACACUGUUCACGGGGAAGUAAUCGAAGCGGAUUCAUGGUUUAUCCGUCCAACCGAGCGGGAACGCAAAGGGAGUGAAAGUGAUUCUUCGGAGUCGCGAUUUUGGUGAAAGCCCUGGCUAGAAAAGCAGGUGUACGCGUGGACUUAGCCGCCCGUACCGCAAACCAACACAGGUGCUCGAGUCGAGUAGACUCAGGCUUACGAGCGAACCUUCGCUAAGGAACUCGGCAAUACAGCGACCGUAACUUCGGGAUAAGGUCUGCCCCCACUUCGGUGGAUAUCAGCCGCGUUCACUCAGUGAAUAUUAGGUUAAAGAGUACAUUUUUAAUCACAAAACGAAUUUUCUGAGAUAGAGCAAACGAAUUGUUCUUUUGAACGCGAACCUCUGACAUCUAACGAUGUGGGGGCCGCAGCAAAAGAGCCCACGGAACUGUUUAUCAAAAACACAGGUCUCUGCUAACACGAAAGUGGAUGUAUAGGGGCUGACUCCUGCCCAAUGCUGGAAGGUUAAGGGGAGCGCUUCACGGUGCGAACUGAAGCCCUAGUCAAUGGCGGCGGUAACUAUAACCGUCCUAAGGUAGCGAAAUUCCUUGUCAGGUAAGUUCUGACCCGCACGAAUGGAGUAAUCAUGUGGGCACUGUCUCAGCGAAGGACUCGGUGAAAGUGCAUUGGCGGUAAAGAUGCCGUCUGUCCGUACCAGGACGAAAAGACCCCAUGGAGCUUUACUACAGCUUUACAUUGAAUAUGGUUUCAACAUGUGUAGCAUAGGUGGGAGACUUUGAAGCAGAUACGCCAGUAUUUGUGGAGUCACCAAGUGAAAUACCACCCUUGUUGUGAUUGUGUUCUCACGCUGACCGUUAUCCGGUUAGCGGACCGUGUAUGUAGUUUAACUGGGGCGGUUGCCUCCUAAAGAGUAACGGAGGCGUUCAAAGGUUGGCUAACUUCGGAUGGAAAUCGAAGUGAUAGUGUAUGCGCAUAAGCCAGCUUGACUGUGAGGAGUACAUUCCAAUCAGAGACGAAAGUCGGAGCAAGUGAUCCGCUGUACGUACAUUUGUACAUGAAUGUGGGAUCGACAGCGCAAACGGAUAAAAGUUACCCUGGGGAUAACAGGCUUAUAGCGCCCAAUAGUUCACAUAGACGGCGCUGUUUGGCACCUCGAUGUCGGCUCAUCACAUCCUGGAGGGGGAGCACCUUCCAAGGGUUCGGCUGUUCGCCGAUUAAAGCGGUACGCGAGCUGGGUUCAGAACGUCGUGAGACAGUUCGGUUUAUAUCCGGUAUGGACGAUAGGAAACUUGAGAGGAUCUACCCCUAGUACGAGAGGACCGGGGCGGACGCACCUCUGGUGUAUCGAUUGUGGCCACCUGCUGCAUUGUCGAGUAGCUAUGUGCGGACUAGAUAAGCGCUGAAAGCAUAUUAAGCGCGAAACUAACCU
Molecule: ribosomal RNA, 2062 nt
Filed under: human gut metagenome
Description: bacterial LSU rRNA
Rfam family: Bacterial large subunit ribosomal RNA
Source: RNAcentral